AAAAAAAAAACCACUCCAGGCUUUGAAGAGCCCAAAGGCCAGUGUUGUGUUAUCAGCCUGAUGCAGCCUGAAAAGGUGCUCAACAACUCAAGUUUAAAGACCAGAACUAGAAAAGUAACUGGGCUAAGAAAACAGCCAAUAUUUUGGCACUUUGCCUUCAAGGUCUACAAACAACCCAGGACAUGGUAGAACAGUUUCUACAAGAUCCUAUAACUUUGGUAAGUCACCCAACCUCCUAAAUAAGAAGUUUAUUG
RNAcentral lists this long non-coding RNA (254 nucleotides) under Fukomys damarensis (Damara mole-rat). RNAcentral describes it as "lncRNA (ENSFDAG00000027525.1)". The record is from RNAcentral. Lineage: Eukaryota; Metazoa; Chordata; Mammalia; Rodentia; Bathyergidae.